AUCCAGUUGAUGAGCCGCAAAUAAGAUGAAACGCGUUUCCUGGAU
Schistosoma margrebowiei is the source of this 45-nucleotide non-coding RNA. Lineage: Eukaryota; Metazoa; Platyhelminthes; Trematoda; Strigeidida; Schistosomatidae. The record is from Rfam.